CCCAGCAACGCCUUCCAUAAGGCUGAGUGUGUCUCAGCUGCUUCUAAUGUGAUCACUCAGGUGAAUGACUCCCUUCAUUUCUACCACCUGGUUUCUUAAAGGGGCUUCCAAACACGGUAACCAUCUCACAAAUCAAAACGUGGGCAGAGCAGGCUUCCCCAUGGUGACCCUCCUUGCUUAAUUAAACCACAUCUAACAAGUGACACGGACAGGCCGUGAGCGCUGUUUCCUGCAACAUGGUGCCAGGAAAUCCUGUAGACGGAGCGAGCUCCCCCCAAGCAGAUUCACUUCUCAGUCUCCUCGGCUGGAUCCUGACGGCUGUCACAGGCACAAUGCCCGUGAGUGAUGCUAUUCAAGGGCACCGUGAUCAUCAAGAGGGAAGGUGGCAAUGAGUUCAAAAUCUUCCAAAGAUUGCUUCAAUUCAUCUUUCAGCAUUGCUGUGAGAAGAAAAGAGGAAUUCCGGCAGGUUAGAUUAACAUACCCUCCUUGAUGAAAAUGCCUCAUCAAAAGUGCGACCUUCUGCUCAGUGGUCAAGCUGGGGGAGACUCCACUCACCCAUUCAAGACUAUAUCUGUUAGGAGAAUGCCAUCCAGCUGCCAUAACAGGCAUUUCAGUGUCUUAACCCAAUGUCUCAAACCAUUCCUUGCUACUCAUGUCACAGUCUGAUGUGGACGAGGCAGCCACCACGGACACAUCCUCUCCACGCGGUGACUCAGGGCUCCAGGGUUUCUCCCACGUGCGGCUCCACCAGAGCAGCCACAGAGGCCUGCUGACCCUUCGCAUUGCGCUGGCGAUGAGCACAGACUGAGGUUGUGAAGGACAGCACAGGAGGUUUUCAGGCAGGGCCGGGGAGGGGCACAAACAGUGCUGCGGUCGCUUCGGGCCAGAGCGCCCUCACACGGCCACAGCUCAGCAAGAGCGGCUCAGAGAUGGGGCAGACGCGUGAACACCGGGGAGUCUCUGAGCCUGAGCAGCACGUCUACCCUCUCGUCUCCAUCUGUGCUGCCGGCUCCACCCACCUUCUUCAGGAAGACUAUCGAAGGAGAAAGUAAAAUAAAAAAUCCCUCGUGCCAACCAACACGGCACCUCAAAGCGCUAUGAGAAAAGAAAAUGCUGUCCACUUACUUCCAAAGAAAACCUACCACCACCCGGAAUCACUUUCUUCCCUCCCUUUCUCCUUCUUAAAAAGAAAACGAACCCCUUGUCAUGCCAGCCAAGAUGGACUGGGGCCACUACAAGCCGACCCUCGCACCGUGAGAACCCAAAGCUCUGGGCAGAACACAAAAAGCUGGUGUCUGAGGACUCUGACAAGUCGGCACCAGCAGGCAGAUGGGGAAGGGAAGUCAGACGUAAGGCGUGCCCAGGAAGGUGGGGGGCUGGUCGGUUUUUUCUCUGCUUUCUCUCUUAGCCUUGUCCUGACGGGCCGUCAGGGCCUCAGGACUGCUCAGCGAGCAGGACAGAAAUAACUCAGAGAGGAUCCCCCUCUUUCCAGAGGACGUGAAAAGGGCCUCCGAGGGCCUGAGAGUGCUGGGGGAAGCACCAGGCGAUCCGGUCCUUCCGUUUCUCUCCUGGCCUUGCUCUGAGGCCUCCUCCAAUCAUGCAGCUGCAGCCAUGGCUGUGGUGGAAGCUCCUAAAACGCCAAGAAGAACCAUCUCUCUGGUGGGGAACUGGGAAAAUAGGCCCCUGUGCCCCAAUGAAUUUGGGGGAAUGCUGCUUAUUUUUUUCCUCUUGCCAAUUUCCCCUAAAAACCACCCCAGUUAUGUAAAACUGCAAUACAGCACAGGAGGGAGGAUGAAGCUAAGAUUCUGAGAGAAAUUGGAACUUUCCAGCCAAAGGACAAGGAAAAGGUGCCCGUGUGAUCCAGAGAGUACUGGGGAAGUCCUGAGGGGAGAGAGUUCAAAGAGGAGAUCCCCUCAUUAUGUGGGGAGUUGACACAAAUCCCGGGCUCGCCUCCGGGCUGUGCACGCAUGGAACGCAUCCAGGGAGGAAGAGCAAGGCUUUGGAAACUGAACCGAUCCUGCAAUCACUUCCCACAGACGGUGAAACAGAACUUGUGGUCUGAACCGCAUAUUCUCCCUAAGAUUUAAACAAGGGUUUCUCAACCUAUGCACUGUUGAUAAUUUGGACUGAAUAUUUCUUUUCCGGGGGAAUGGGGGCUGUCCCAUGGACUAUAGGAUGUUUAGCAGCAUCCCUGGAAUCUGUCCACCAGAUACAGUAGCACUCCACAGUCGAGAAAAAUCGAAGUGAUCUCCAGACAUCACCACACGUCCUCUGUGGGGCAAAACCCUCUCUGGUUGAGAACCACUGACUCAAACAGAACUCAGCACUUCGCAAUAGAAUAUUCAGUGAAUCCAGGAUACAACCCAAAUCUGCUCAGCAUACCCAAACCAGGAAAAUCCGACCGGCUCACCAGGGUAAAGGCAACCAACCCACGCAAACCUUGAGCUGGCCCAGGUGUCUGAGGUCGGACAAAGGCUUCGAGCAGCGUUCAUAACCACGCUCUACGAGACAGAGGCGAGCACUCUCGAAACAAAGGGGAAAACAGACACCUCAGCAGAGAAGGAGAAACUGUAAAAAAAGAACCAAAUAAAAAUUUGAGAACUGAAAAAUAAAAUAUUAGAAGUAAAAUAAAAAGUCACAAGGAGGCUUCAAGAGUAGAAUGG
Molecule: long non-coding RNA, 2663 nt
Filed under: Equus caballus (horse)
Lineage: Eukaryota; Metazoa; Chordata; Mammalia; Perissodactyla; Equidae
Description: lncRNA (ENSECAG00000059717.1)
Source: RNAcentral